This 321-nucleotide long non-coding RNA is filed under the name Vitis vinifera (wine grape). RNAcentral's name for it is "long non-coding RNA (VVIN_LNC006385)". Lineage: Eukaryota; Viridiplantae; Streptophyta; Magnoliopsida; Vitales; Vitaceae. The record is from RNAcentral.
GGUUUUCACUACCAUGGACGCCACCAAGAAGAGGAAGAUGGACGAAAACGGCCUCGUAUCCACCGACGGCGACUCCCUCACCAAGCUUGCUCCCGAAGACGCCCGCAAAAUAAUCGAGCCCUUCGGUCACGAUCAACUUCUCGAGAUCCUCCAGAACGCCGCCGUCCGCCACCUCGACGUCCUCGACGCCAUCCGAUCUAUCGCCGACCGCGACCUCACCCAGCGCAAGUUGUUCAUCCGCGGCCUCGGCUGGGACACCACCACUGAAGGGCUUCGCCAGCUCUUUUCUGCCUACGGCGAGCUCGAAGAGGCCGUGGUGAU